GGCGUGCUUAACACAUGCAAGUCGAACGAUGAACCACUUCGGUGGGGAUUAGUGGCGAACGGGUGAGUAACACGUGGGCAAUCUGCCCUGCACUCUGGGACAAGCCCUGGAAACGGGGUCUAAUACCGGAUACUGACCCGCUUGGGCAUCCAAGCGGUUCGAAAGCUCCGGCGGUGCAGGAUGAGCCCGCGGCCUAUCAGCUUGUUGGUGAGGUAAUGGCUCACCAAGGCGACGACGGGUAGCCGGCCUGAGAGGGCGACCGGCCACACUGGGACUGAGACACGGCCCAGACUCCUACGGGAGGCAGCAGUGGGGAAUAUUGCACAAUGGGCGAAAGCCUGAUGCAGCGACGCCGCGUGAGGGAUGACGGCCUUCGGGUUGUAAACCUCUUUCAGCAGGGAAGAAGCGAAAGUGACGGUACCUGCAGAAGAAGCGCCGGCUAACUACGUGCCAGCAGCCGCGGUAAUACGUAGGGCGCGAGCGUUGUCCGGAAUUAUUGGGCGUAAAGAGCUCGUAGGCGGCUUGUCGCGUCGGUUGUGAAAGCCCGGGGCUUAACCCCGGGUCUGCAGUCGAUACGGGCAGGCUAGAGUUCGGUAGGGGAGAUCG
This 606-nucleotide ribosomal RNA is filed under the name Streptomyces sp. SIIA 2058. Its description in RNAcentral is "bacterial SSU rRNA". It matches the Rfam family "Bacterial small subunit ribosomal RNA", at positions 41 to 663 of the family's 1533-position model. Lineage: Bacteria; Bacillati; Actinomycetota; Actinomycetes; Kitasatosporales; Streptomycetaceae. The record is from RNAcentral.